AUAAUAAGAAAUACCGGUGUCAAAAAAUAGUCACUCUGAUAGUCAUCAGUUUCAGGGCCUAUCAACAUGAGUAUAGAAACAAGACAGUGGCUUCCCAUGACCCACUGUGUGCGUUGCCUUUUGACCCAUCGGUUUGGCUCACAUGCUCAGUUAAGACUUCUGAGGCAGUAUACUGACCACUACAGCACGUACAAAUUUAAUCAUGUGGGUAUACUGUACACACACAUACACACACACACAGAUGGGGGGCUGUGGGAGAAAGAAUGCCAGAGAGAAGAAAAAUAAAGCAAAUCAAAAUUGUGAUGCCGCCGCUGAUUGUACAUUGACAAUUGGUCAGUCUGGAAUUCCAUUGAAGCCCUUUCCCACAGUUUACAGAGAGCUGGGCACUUGUAAUGAACACACAGGAGGUUUAUUGGGAAUGCUGAAACAGACCCAAAGGGAUUCUAUAUCUGCACUCUGUCACUGGGUUUUGAUUUUGGAAGCUGAAAGCAGAUUUUAAUCACCGUUCCUACGAACAGAGAGGAAUGUAAAGUAAACAUAUUUUGAAAGGUGAGGGAGCUGCAUGAGACAUUUCUACGAUUUCUUCAGGGUUUCUUCAAAUUGGAAAUGUUUCUAAUCAGUGGAUUCUGUUGUCUGUCUAAUGAUAAAAUCAGGACUAAACACUUUAAGCUUAAUUGAGUUUGAUCAAAUAAAACAUUUUGUGAUUUUGUAAACCAGCAUGAAGAUUGUUAUAUUUCUAAUUUAUUGCCAAUGAGUGGAAAAGAACAUUCAGAAUUCCUCUGUGCUCUGCACUACGUCUCAAGACUUAACUGGGAACAUAACAAAGGAUUGUAGAAGAUGGUGACUUGCCAGUGUGUAGCGCACACUCAAUCACUCACAGCUGGAUGUUUGGAUAACAGGAUGUGUUAGCUUUGCUGUAUUCACAUUUCGGACGUGUACUGCCUCAGUUGGAAGCAUGAAUCAAAGGAGACCUGUUCUGGAGGAUGGAAAUCAUUCAAAGUAUCACACAGUUGAAAAGAGGAACAGAAGUAAAGACAAUCUACUGAUGAACGAAGACUUUGGAGAGGACUGUUAUGGCAGUUAUGGACACUACCAUGGUGAGAACCUGGCCAGACAGGCAUUACCCAAGAGCAGAAGGCAGGCAGUGCGAGGGGCAGCCUACAUGUUUAAUGCCCAUCCCAACAGCCUAACCCCAGUAGAGGAACGUUUCCUUGAUGCAGCCGAGUAUGGAAACAUACCCGAGGUGCGCCGAAUGCUUGAGGAGAUCCCUGAGCUGGACGUUAACUGUGUGGACUACAUGGGCCAGAAUGCAUUGCAGUUGGCGGUGGCAAACGAGCACUUAGAAGUAAUAGAACUCUUGUUGAAGAAAGACAACCUGUCGCGUAUUGGGGAUGCACUUUUGUUGGCAAUCAGCAAAGGAUACACUAGGAUUGUUGAGGCCAUUUUGAGCCACAAAGCUUUCGCAGACUCCAAGAGACUCACAGGGAGCCCUAGUCAGGCUCCAAUGCAUGAUGACUUUUUUGCAUACGACGAAGAUGGCACUCGCUUUUCUCAUGACGUCACUCCAAUAAUUGUAGCAUCUCAUUGUCACGAAUACGAAAUCGUGCACAUUCUUCUGGGAAUGGGUGCUUGCAUUGAGCAACCACACGACUACUUUUGUGCCUGCAACACCUGCAAUUAUCAUCAAAAAUAUGAUUCUUUCUCCCACUCCCGCUCGCGUAUCAAUGCGUACAGGGGAUUGGCCAGUCCAGCGUACCUCUCUCUGUCCAAUGAGGAUCCUGUGUUGGCGGCCCUGGAGCUCAGCAAUGAGCUGGCUUCCUUGGCCAAUAUUGAAAAAGAAUUUAAGAAUGAAUAUAGGAAACUUUCUAUGCAAUGCAAAGACUUUGUUGUGGGGCUUCUGGACCUGUGUCGGAGUACAGAGGAAGUGGAAGCCAUUCUGAAUGGUGAAGAGGAUGAGACUUUAGAAGUGCCUGGACGACCAAGUUUCAUUCGCUUAAAACUCGCAAUAAAGUAUGAACUGAAAAAGUUUGUUGCCCAUCCUAACUGUCAACAACAGCUCUUAUCAAUAUGGUACGAAAACCUGCCCGGACUCAGGCAACAAAAAACGGCUAUUAAGUUCCUGGUGGUUUUAGGUGUUGCAAUCGGACUUCCCUUUCUAGCAAUGGUGUAUUGGGUGGCACCAUGCAGCAAGAUGGGAAAGAUCAUGCGUGGCCCUUUCCUUAAGUUUGUGGCACAUGCGGCCUCCUUCACUAUUUUCCUUGGCCUUUUGGUCAUGAACGCUGCAGACCGCUUCGAUGGGACAAAGCUGCUUCCAAAUAUGACCAUUCAUGACUAUCCGACACAGCUGUUUCGUAUGAAAACAACUCCCUUUACAUGGAUGGAAAUGCUCAUCAUUUCCUGGGUCAUAGGGAUGAUUUGGGCAGAGUGCAAGGAGAUCUGGUCACAAGGUCCAAGAGAAUAUCUGCUUGAGCCAUGGAAUUUGCUAGACUUUGGAAUGUUGGCCAUUUUUGUGGCAUCCUUCAUCUCGAGGAUAAUGGCUUUCUGGCAUGCAUCUGUAGCACAAUGCUAUGUUGAUGAGCACUACACUGAUUUAACCAAUGUAACUUUGCCUUUUGAGGUGGGAUACUUCCAGUUGGCUCGGAUCUACUGGUUCCCGUCUGAUCCUCAGUUAGUUUCUGAGGGCUUGUAUGCCAUUGCAGUGGUCCUGAGCUUUUCUCGAAUUGCGUACAUCCUGCCAGCGAACGAGAGCUUUGGACCACUGCAGAUAUCUUUGGGGCGAACUGUGAAGGACAUCUUCAAGUUCAUGGUUAUCUUCAUUUUAGUCUUCCUGGCCUUCAUGAUUGGAAUGUUCAACCUCUACUCAUAUUAUCGGGGCGCUAAACAGAAUGAAGCUUUCACAACUGUAGAGGAAAGCUUCAAAACAUUAUUUUGGGCAAUAUUUGGCCUUUCUGAAGUCAAAUCAGUAGUCGUGAACAAUGGACACAAGUUCAUUGAGAACACUGGCUAUGUUCUCUAUGGAGUUUACAAUGUCACGGUGGUCAUCGUCCUACUCAACAUGCUCAUUGCUAUGAUCAACAGUUCCUUUCAGGAGAUUGAGGAUGAUGCAGAUGUGGAGUGGAAGUUUGCCCGGGCCAAGCUUUGGUUCACCUACUUUGAGGAAGGCCGGACUCUCCCUGUGCCUUUUAACUUGGUUCCCAGUCCCAAAUCUGUUCUGGGUCUAGUUAUGGGGGCUAAGAGUCUUUUGCAGGAGCUUUUCAACAGACACAAAGCCAUUGUGAAGGGGUCUGAGCUCAGUGAGUUGGGACAGAGCAAAACUUGCCAGGACAAAUCUCUUCCCAGCUCCACUCGAUAUCAGAAAAUUAUGAAGCGUCUUGUUAAGCGAUAUAUCAUCAAAGCUCAAAAGGACAAAGAAUGUGAUGAAGUCAAUGAAGGUGAGUGGAUUUAAGCUUUCAUAAGAGGUAUAAUUUACAAAAUAUAUAUGGUAAAAUAGAGUGGUGAAAAUUUUUAGAACACCUGAUAGAUCUGAAAAUAUUGACCUUUUUUGCCUCCAAAACGUGAUUUCAUUUCAUAAUGUUCAUGACACAUGAAGAUGGUUGUUCUGAGCACAACAAAUAUCAGAGUUGUGCUGUUUUUAUAAAAUGUUACAUUUAAUAUUUGGUGUGUCCAACUUUUGCAGCAAUAAUAGCAGCACAUUUCUCUUGCAUAGUGUCAGUAUAUUUCCUGAGAACUUCAACACUAAUGUUAUCCCAUGCCUUCUGCAACUCAAGCCAAAGGCUUUUCUUUUAAUGUACAAUACAUCCGUCCAGUAUAUAUUUUCCAACUCGCCCCAAAUUUGCUCGAUGGGAUUGACGUCCAGACUUUGAGGGGGCCAUUCCAUCAGUUUCAAUAUUCCAGCAAAAUUUCAAGAUUCCUUUUAUAGCAGGUGAACUGAAGGAGAUUAAGCAGGACAUUUCAAGCCUUCGCUAUGAGCUGCUGGAGGAAAAGUCACACAACAUGGAGGAGCUGGCAAUGCUAGUGAAGGCACUUGAAAAAAAUCUCUCUCUCAGGACUGCUUGAAACUAAAAUCUC
This is an RNA transcript of Carassius gibelio (silver crucian carp), 4068 nucleotides long. It is a transcript of the gene named short transient receptor potential channel 6, with no coding region annotated. Lineage: Eukaryota; Metazoa; Chordata; Actinopteri; Cypriniformes; Cyprinidae. The transcript is spliced from 12 exons. The record is from RefSeq and is a predicted model, not a curated record.